Vombatus ursinus (common wombat) is the source of this 612-nucleotide long non-coding RNA. RefSeq lists it as uncharacterized. Lineage: Eukaryota; Metazoa; Chordata; Mammalia; Diprotodontia; Vombatidae. The transcript is spliced from 4 exons. The record is from RefSeq and is a predicted model, not a curated record.
GGCCAUGUCCAAAAAUGCAUGUUUCUUUCUGGAACUUCAGUCCAUUCCCUCUGUCAGAAGUGAUGAGCUUUUCUUCAAAACAGAAGAAUGGCAGUGUGUAGGCUGUUUAAACUUCUUCUCUGGAAAAAUUAUAUCUUAAAGAAGCGCAUGCUUCUAUCAAGCCUCAUAGAAGUCUUAUUGCCAUUGCUGUUUGCUGGAGUUUUAAUUUCACUUCGUUUGAAGAGCAAACCACAACAUAAGGAUUCUAUAAGAUAUAAGCCUUUAUCCCUUGAUGAUCUACCCAGCGUCUUCGAUAAAACUUUUCCACCACAUUUCCUGUUGCUAUUUUAUUUCCCUUCUGAAAGUGAUGCUGUGAAGAAUAUUACUAAUAAAGUGUCAUGCUCCUUCCAGCUUGUUUUAAGAGCUGGACUAUACGAGAGACUUAUGAACUCUUAUCUACCUACUUUACUACAAAUGACCCUGACUAUUGCUGUGAGUGAAAUUUAACAAAAGGGUAAACUGAGGCAAUUCUCGGUAUCAUUUAUUAAGAAGGGCAUAUGUUGACAAAACAGUAAAAUAAUAAGUAUUGGAGAAGAUGUGGAAAAAUUGGAACACUGAUACAUUGUGGGUGGA